GACAAACGCUGGCGGCGUGCAUAAAACAUGCAAGUCGCACGGCCUCUUCGGAGGCAGUGGCAGACGGCUGAGUAACGCGUAGGGAUCUACCCAGCAGUGGGGAAUAACGGCCCGAAAGGGUCGCUAAUACCGCAUACGACCACCUUUCGGGGUGAGGAAAGCCGCAAGGCGCUGGUGGAGGAACCUGCGUCCGAUUAGCUAGUUGGUGGGGUAACGCCGUACCAACGA
Molecule: ribosomal RNA, 228 nt
Filed under: uncultured bacterium
Lineage: Bacteria
Description: partial 16S ribosomal RNA
Rfam family: Bacterial small subunit ribosomal RNA
Source: RNAcentral